Molecule: ribosomal RNA, 1095 nt
Filed under: Triticum aestivum (bread wheat)
Lineage: Eukaryota; Viridiplantae; Streptophyta; Magnoliopsida; Poales; Poaceae
Description: partial small subunit ribosomal RNA
Source: RNAcentral
AUGUUGACCAAGGCAGUGGUGUCCCUCCUCUUCCUCUUGAGCGUCUCCCGCUGCGGGACGUCGUGGCAGAGCUACGAUGCGAUAUACAACUUCGGCGACUCCAUCUCCGACACCGGCAAUCUCUGCACGGGCGGCUGCCCGUCGUGGCUCACCAUGGGCCAGCCGCCGUACGGAACCAGCUACUUCGGCCGCCCGACCGGACGCUGCUCCGACGGCCGCGUCGUCGUCGACUUCCUCGCUCAGUUCUUCGGUCUGCCACUGCUUCCGCCGUCCAAGAGGAACGGCACCGACUUCAGGAAAGGCGCAAACAUGGCCAUCAUCGGCGCCACCGCCAUGAACCUGGACUUCUUCCAGUCUCGCGGCCUGGGCAGCAGCAUCUGGAACAACGGGCCUCUGGACACGCAAAUCCAGUGGUUCCAGCAGCUCAUGCCUUCCAUCUGCGGCGGCGCCAGCGAUUGCAGGAGCCACCUGAGCAACUCCCUGUUCAUCUUGGGCGAGUUCGGGGGCAACGACUACAACGCGCCGAUCUUCGGCGGCAAGAGCCUCGACGAGGUGUACACCUACGUGCCACACAUCGUCAACAAGAUCACAAGCGGCGUAGAGACGCUGAUCGGGCUGGGCGCGGUGGACGUGGUGGUGCCGGGCGUGCUGCCGAUCGGGUGCUUCCCGCUGUACCUGACCCUGUACGGGAGCUCCAACCAGAGCGACUACGACGGGGACGGCUGCCUUGAGCGCUUCAACGACCUGUCCCGCUACCACAACCAGCUGCUCAAGCAGGGAAUUUGCAGCCUCCAGAGCAAGUACGCCGGCGUGAGGCUCAUGUACGGCGACUUCUACACCCAGGUCACCGAGAUGGUGCGUUCUCCCCGGAGCUUCGGACUGGAAUACGGCCUGACUGUUUGUUGUGGCGCGAGCGGCCAAGGGUCCUACAACUACAAUAACAAAGCGAGGUGUGGCAUGUCUGGCUCAAGCGCCUGCAAGGACCCUCAGCAUUUUUGUCCUCAGAACUACUUGAACUGGAACGGCAUCGCCUACCGUUCCAUCGCGUACGGGUGGCUCACAGGGCCCUACUGUGUGCCCGCUAUUCUGCAUUGA